RNAcentral lists this long non-coding RNA (3131 nucleotides) under Fragaria vesca (wild strawberry). Its description in RNAcentral is "long non-coding RNA (FVES_LNC000660)". The record is from RNAcentral. Lineage: Eukaryota; Viridiplantae; Streptophyta; Magnoliopsida; Rosales; Rosaceae.
ACAACAACAAAUAAAAUUACAACGAAUUAAGAUGAAAAGUCGAGAAUAACAUUCUAUGACAACUUUGUUGAAAUGAUUUACCGCUGCCUCAGCUACCAAUACUCAGACGUCACCAAUAUUCAUAUAAGCUGAAAUCAAAGGUUGCCACAAUGAUUAUGUAACACAAUACCGAUGCUAACUGAACCAUCAAGAUCACUGCCCCAUCAAAAAAUUGAUGAGGAAACCACGUAAUAAUUUAGAUAUGAUGCACAAAAGUAUUUGAAAAUGUACUUCUUGAUCUAGCAUGGGAAACACGAGAGAUGCACGAUAAAUGGGAUGUAUAUGGCUAGGAAGAGGCACAAUAUUUCUAAAGAUGUAUUGAAUGAUUUCGAUCGAGCGAGACUUUGUGUCACACCCCAAAUCCGAUGUUAGUAGUUUCCAAGCACUUAAUACCGAAUCCGAAGCGUGAGAGGGAAAAGUAUAAGAAAAUAAAACAAACUCAAAUAUAUUUUCAGAAAAUUUUUGAAAACAAAACGUUUACGAAAACAAAACCAAUUACAAAGAUAAAACAGGUCUUGCGAAUCUAGCUCACUCAAAACUUUCGUCACUCAAAACUUUCGUAACUCUUCUAUACACGUGUACAGGUCUUCUCGUACACGUCAGCUAAACAUCAUAGUUAGACUUCUCGAAAGACGUGUCGUACCUCGUACACCUGAACAAGAAUCUAUAGGGGUGAGCUUACGCUCAGUAGGGCCAAACUUCUUUAGAUUAUUCUUAACUAUGUCGCACAAUCAAGUUAUCAACCAAUGUCAUAUAUAACAACAAAUCGAUCAAUGCAUGUAUGCUAAUGCACUCCUUUCACUCAAUUACUGUCCAAUCAGUCCACACAUCAAAGACAAGUGAUCAUACACGUCUCAUACCGUGUAUUUUACCAACCGGGGGUGACCCAAGAUGUCUUCAAUAUAUGAUCUAACAGUUAGUAAUUUCCUUAACGCCAAUACCUCUUUUGUUAGUCGUCUUGUCAUACUCAUGGUCUCCAAACCUGAAACCCGAUAAUAUCGUUUUAUCGAUGUCCGCCAUCGAAGGGACAUGUUUUCCCCAAAUUUGUGAACGUGUGGGCUACCCUAGAUCUUUGACAACCCAUGAGGAAACUCAACUACAUAAAAUGUAUCUUUCCUCUCCAUCUCAUUCUCACCUAUCUACAAUCACCAAUCUCACUAAUCUCACAAUUCCUCACAAUGCAUUAUGCAUAUAUAUCAAUUGAGCAUCAAUACUCGCAUUUUAAUAUCGAACACAUGCUUUAAAUGAAAAAUGAAAACGUCAAUCACAUAAAUCAACGAUAUUACAUACUUUAUCGAAAUCGAUAACAAUCAAGAAUUAAUCAAUCAAUCAAUCAAUCAAUCAAUGUUACACAAAUCACCAUGCCAAUUAUAAUCUAAUAGGUAAAAUACUGUAUAGUCAUUGUGAUUUCAAGUCGACAUCUGUUUAGUCAUUCUGGUUUUAUUUUAAUCUAAAUAGCCAUUAAAGUCACAAUUUUUCAUCCAAAUGCCUCAUGUUAGUUUUCUCAAUUAAACUGUUGACAUGACCGUUAAAAAUUACAAUAAUGUCUUUAACGGCCACGUCAACAAUUUAACUGAGAAAAUUUAUGGAAUUAAGGACCAUUUGAAUGAAAAAUUAGAACUUUAAGGACUAUUCAAAUUAAAAUAAAAACACAAGGACUAAACAAAUGUCGACUUGAAACCACAAAGACUAAACAAAUUUAAAUCUAAUUAUAGAUUUAAAGAAAGGUUCCCUAAGAGUCCCUACUUGAAAUCCGAGUCCCAAAUCUGACGCUAACUAAAAUUAGUAACUCAGCGACCUGCUUUUCUAAAAUCUUUAUUCUUCUGCUUUUGUAAUUCUGCGACUCGCAUUCGAUGCUCUUACCAAAUCCUUAUUCUUAGAGAGUCAAUGGAUCAUUUUUUUCGACAAUUACCGAAUCACAUGCCUCUGUAUUAAGUCGUAUCCCAACUAUCCUCCAAGCACCAAUCUAAGCUCUUACUCUAUUCUCGAUACCCAAUUUCUCUUAAUUCUCCCACCUCCAUUUAUUACAUUUUCACUAAUCAUCUUCGUUGACAACUCCAAUUCCAUUUCCUUUAUACCUUAACCAUUUCUGUAACCACAAACUCCAUAUGUUAAGCAAUUCAACCCAAAAUACAUCUCGUCAACAUAUAUACCAAACAUCUAAACUUUACAAUUCAUCAUAGCUUCUCUGUUCUUAAAGAACCCGACCCAACCUUUAUUCACCCAACUCCUCCAUCUCUAAAAUUCAAGCAACACACCAACACAAUUGGAUUCUACUACUACUACCAAGCUUACCAAAACCUAGAGACAAUUAACCACCAGCUAUCACCAUCACUGCUGCCGUUGUGAAUAGUAACUUCACGGUGGUCAUCCACUGCUGGAAACCCAUAACAACUGCUGCUGUUUGUUCUUAGAUUCCUGUAAUCGAACAUAUAUAUAGCAUCAAAAUCAUGCUAAGAGAUCCAUAACAACUAGAAUUUAAUUACUAAAACAAGGAUUAAAAACGUAACCACCUCCGUUGUGCACGACCACACACACAACGGUCCUCUAUUGCCCAAAACCUAACUUCUCCAAAUCCUAACCAAUUUUGAAUUCAAUUAUACAAAGAGGUAGAGCUCCAUAAAUUGACCAACUUUGACACUUGGGUCGAAUACCAAAUCUCACCGGAAAGCAUGGAAACUCGCCAAAAAACACAUAGACCUUCGCUAAUCGAUUCUCCCUCCUCAAAGCUUCUCUUUGAAAACCAGUACCACAAGGACGUUCGCCAAGUCGAGGCGAAGCUACCACCACCGAACUUUCUCACCACCUUGGCUAGAAUCUAGAACUUGCCGGCGAACCCAACGUCUCUCUCUUCUUCGAUUCUCCUUCACCGAAGCUCAUUUGCCGAAACCAAGACCAUGCCACAUGGAGGAUGUGGAGGCCAAGACGAAGUCGACGCUGCCAUUCUUUCUCCAUGUCGUCACCGAAGAACGAAGUGGCAGCCGGAUCGACCCAUCGCCUCCGUUCGGGUCGAGAAUGACCCGGUCUGGGUGUUGAUCUGAUCUGAUCCCUUACAUAAAUAAUCGAUUCAACGAUUGAGAUCUUGCGGUUUA